RNA transcript from Macadamia integrifolia, 1270 nucleotides. It is a transcript of the gene named PRA1 family protein A1-like, with no coding region annotated. The record is from RefSeq and is a predicted model, not a curated record. Lineage: Eukaryota; Viridiplantae; Streptophyta; Magnoliopsida; Proteales; Proteaceae. The transcript is spliced from 9 exons.
GCUUGAUUGCUUGCUUGCUUGUUAAAUUCUACUCCGCAUUCUCAAAUUGAUCUUCUCCCUUUUCUUUCUUUUUUCAGUUUUCCUGAUAGUACACGAAUAAAGGGUAAAAACGCUAGUCAGAUUGACAUCCUCUUCCAAAAUUUGAAGGUUUCUUUCUCCCUGAAUUGACCACUUCUUUGGCGAACCAUCUCUAGGGUUUUUCAUAGAGCAAAAAUGGAUUGGGGGAAUGUAACUACGGAAGAUCUGAUCGAUGCUCUUCGUGAAGUCGACUGGUCAUCACCUCCUCGUCCUCUCACAGAAUUCUUCUCCAGAUUCACUUUCCCUAGAUCUUAUGCCAAAUGGAACAGUCGUCUCAAAUGCAAUCUUUACUAUUACCGGACAAAUUACUUCAUCAUGGUAACCUUCAUUCUUGGGUUGGGAUUUCUCAGAAGGCCGGUUGCUAUUGUUGCUGCAUUCUUAACGGCCAUAAGCAUUGCUUUCCUGAAUGAUAGUUUUGCAGUUACUUUUAAUGAGAAGGUAACCAGAACUGUGAGGCAGUUUUCUCCACAUUUAGCUGCAAAGAUGAGAGCCCCUAUAACGCCUGUUAUUCGUGGGCGUCCAUCUGCUAAAAGAUCGAUUCAUAUAUGCGGACGCCCUCGUUGGAUGUUUGUAUUGAUAUUUUCAAUAGCCAGUUGUCUCUUGUGGUUCACAUCUUGUAAUCUCCUGACUGUCCUAUGGGCAUUUGUCAUUGGCCUUCUUGCCACUGUUUUGCAUGCAAGCUUUAGAACGCCUAACCUGAAAGCACGCCUGAACACAUUCCGUGAAGAAUUCCGUGCAGUUUGGCGCAAUUAUAGUGAACUCUAACUGGUUAGUGCAAGCUGUGGAAUUUAUGGGAUGAGCCUGGUAGUCGUUAAAUCUGGAAUUAAACAGCCCAAAUAUCUGCCACGUGACAGAUAAGAUGGAAACCAAAUUCUGUGGACAGGGCUGAACUGCUGCUGCUGCUGCUGCUUGUAUUCUUACAAAGAAGCUGCUGUAUCGGGAUCCCCUCUAGUAAGUGAAGGCUGCAUGUUUGUACAGAUCAUCGGGUUGUAAAUCUCUUACAGAUCUAAUUUCUGUAAAACCAGUUGUUUGCUAUGUCUAUGAACAAACACUUCAGGAUUCCUGCGCUAACUUAUGAGUUCUUGGGACUGGUGAGGACGCCUAUUUUUUCUGUUUACUAGUUCCUAUCAUUUUGUCUUUGUAAUGGUGAUUGAUCUUUAUCUUUUAUUUAUGAACCAAUUUUUCCUGUUUA